AUUCCUGGUGUAGCGGUGAAAUGCGCAGAUAUCAGGAGGAACACCGGUGGCGAAGGCGGGUCUCUGGGCAGUAACUGACGCUGAGGAGCGAAAGCAUGGGGAGCGAACAGGAUUAGAUACCCUGGUAGUCCAUGCCGUAAACGGUGGGCGCUAGGUGUGGGUUUCCUUCCACGGGAUCCGUGCCGUAGCUAACGCAUUAAGCGCCCCGCCUGGGGAGUACGGCCGCAAGGCUAAAACUCAAAGGAAUUGACGGGGGCCCGCACAAGCGGCGGAGCAUGUGGAUUAAUUCGAUGCAACGCGAAGAACCUUACCUGGGCUUGACAUAUACAGGAUCGCGCCAGAGAUGGUGUUUCCCUUGUGGCUUGUAUACAGGUGGUGCAUGGUUGUCGUCAGCUCGUGUCGUGAGAUGUUGGGUUAAGUCCCGCAACGAGCGCAACCCUUGUCUUAUGUUGCCAGCACGUUGUGGUGGGGACUCGUAAGAAACUGCCGGGGUUAACUCGGAGGAAGGUGGGGAUGACGUCAAAUCAUCAUGCCCCUUAUGUCCAGGGCUUCACACAUGCUACAAUGGUCGGUACAGUGGGUUGCCAGUCCGUGAGGGCGAGCUAAUCCCGCAAAGCCGGUCUCAGUUCGGAUCGGGGUCUGCAACUCGACCCCGUGAAGUCGGAGUCGCUAGUAAUCGCAGAUCAGCAACGCUGCGGUGAAUACGUUCCCGGGCCUUGUACACACCGCCCGUCACGUCAUGAAAGUCGGUAACACCCGAAGCCAGUGGCCUAAACUCGUUAGGGAGCUGUCGAAGGUGGGAUUGGCGAUUGGGACGAAGUCGUA
This 825-nucleotide ribosomal RNA is filed under the name Corynebacterium amycolatum. RNAcentral's name for it is "bacterial SSU rRNA". It matches the Rfam family "Bacterial small subunit ribosomal RNA", at positions 666 to 1490 of the family's 1533-position model. Lineage: Bacteria; Bacillati; Actinomycetota; Actinomycetes; Mycobacteriales; Corynebacteriaceae. The record is from RNAcentral.